Molecule: long non-coding RNA, 1377 nt
Organism: Columba livia (rock pigeon)
Lineage: Eukaryota; Metazoa; Chordata; Aves; Columbiformes; Columbidae
Exons: 2
Source: RefSeq, a predicted model, not a curated record
GGAGCUGCCAGACUUUGCAAAGUUUGGGCGCGGGAGGGCUCCACGGCGGCCUGCAGCGGGGGCUGGGGGAGGCGGCCCCGGCGAGCGGAGCGCCGCCGCCCGGGAGCUGCGCGGGGGCCGGCGGAGCGCCAAGCUGCGCCGGGCAGGGCGCCCAGGGGCUGCGGGCGCCCGCCUCGCUCGGCGCCCGCCGCCGGGGCUGCCAGGCCCCGCGGCCCCGCACAGCGCCCCCGCCGGUCACCAGCGCCGCUCACCGCGUCGUGACCCGGUUGCCGUUGCCAGCCGGCUCCCGGGCCCCCAGGGGCAGAGGCUGCAAAUCCCGUGGCUGCGGAGCGCGUCGCGGGACUCCCCGCGCUCCCGCCACGAGGGCGGCGGGCCGCGGCCCUUCCCGCGAGUCUGUCAGCCCCGGCCGCGCCCGCCGGCCCGCGCCGCCGCUCGAAACAAAGACGCCGCGCUGGGGCGGGCUCGGCCGCCGCGGGCCUGCGGCCACCGGGAUGCGCGAAGCGAGGCGCCGGCCCUGGGGCGGGCACGGGGCGGCGAGGCCGGCUCCAGGCGCGCGACCGCGAGGACCGUUAGUGCGCGUGAGGGCGGGGACCGGGGCACGAGUGGUGGGAAAGGCGGGAGCGAGCGCCGGGCCACAGUUGCCGCCGCCGGGCGCUGAACGGGCAAGCACUGCUCAGGUCUCGGCGGGGCUCCCCGGGCUUCUAGCGACUUCACCGCUCACCUGUCACGGGACACGUGUGUAACAGGUUCUUCUCGCCUCCAGGCUGCAGCGCCGGUUCCUCCCGGUCCACGCAGGCGUUUGUGUGAAGUGCUGAAGCGCGGUGCUCCGGCGGCUGCCGAGCAGGUCGGUCCACGGUGGCUGGAAGACCUUCUUCAAGGAGGGGCUCCUUCCAGACAGGCAUGACUCUCCAGUCUGGCCUCUGGCCCGAGGGGGGGGCAGAGGAGACCCAGCCCCCCGGGCCCAACUGGUGGCCCUCGCAGUGUCGGUUAACUCCUCUGAACCUUUGAAAAAUACAUGUUAAAAUACAGCCAUGCUCAAAUACUUCAGGAAAAAAAACCUUCUGUGUGUGGAUGGGUUUCUAUUAGAUGGAGAUUUGUGACUGAACUGGCCAGGCCCAAAGGAAUUUCAAGGCCACCUCGGAAAGCUGAGAACAGGACCUGCUGUGGGAGGGAGCCAGUUCUGCAGUAACGAGGCCUCAACAUGAUGUGCAUCAACGGACCUGCCAGCAGUGAGACUCCAGCGCGGGGACAGCUCGUGAGCAUCGAUGAUACUGUCAGUGAAUGUGUGUUCGGAGUGUGGACGCGUGACCAGAGGGUAGUUGCAUAUAUAAGGAGGCCUGUUUCUGUAAUAAAUGGCUUUGCGUGAUUCACGUUGAA